UACGGAGGGUGCAAGCGUUAUCCGGAUUUAUUGGGUUUAAAGGGUACGUAGGCGGUCUGUUAAGUCAGGGGUGAAAGCUAGCAGCUUAACUGCUAAAUUGCCUUUGAUACUGGCAGGCUUGAGUAUAGUUGAGGUGGGUGGAAUUUCACAUGUAGUAGUGAAAUGCUUAGAUAUGUGAAGGAACUCCGAUAACGAAGGUAGCUCACUAAACUAUAACUGACGCUGAGGUACGAAAGCGUGGGGAGCAAACAGG
Molecule: ribosomal RNA, 253 nt
Filed under: uncultured bacterium
Lineage: Bacteria
Also listed under: 1 other name
Description: partial 16S ribosomal RNA
Rfam family: Bacterial small subunit ribosomal RNA
Source: RNAcentral